GACGAACGCUGGCGGCGUGCUUAACACAUGCAAGUCGAACGGAGUGGCGAACGGGUGAGUAACACGUGGGUGCUCUUCCUUGCACUCUGGGAUAAGCUUGGGAAACUGGGUCUAAUACCGGAUAGUGCAAGGUGUUCUCGCGGCCUAUCAGCUUGCUGGGGGGGUAAUGGCCUACCAAGGCGUCGACGGGUAGUCGGCCUGAGAGGGUGUACGGCCACAUUGGGACUGAGAGACGGACCAGAAUCCGACGGGAGGCAGCAGGGGGGAAUAUUGCACAAUGGGCGGAAGCCUGAUGCAGCGACGCUGCGUGGGGGAUGACGGCUUUCGGGUUGUAAACUCCUUUCGACAGGGACGCGGUACCUGUAUAAGAAGCACCGGCUAACUACGUGCCAGCAGCCGCGGUAAUAC
This 408-nucleotide ribosomal RNA is filed under the name uncultured bacterium. Its description in RNAcentral is "partial 16S ribosomal RNA". It matches the Rfam family "Bacterial small subunit ribosomal RNA", at positions 28 to 526 of the family's 1533-position model. The record is from RNAcentral.